Molecule: ribosomal RNA, 1149 nt
Filed under: uncultured bacterium
Lineage: Bacteria
Description: bacterial SSU rRNA
Rfam family: Bacterial small subunit ribosomal RNA
Source: RNAcentral
CCCAAAUCCUACGGGAGGCAGCAGUGGGGGAUAUUGCACAAUGGAGGAAACUCUGAUGCAGCGACGCCGCGUGAGUGAAGAAGUAUUUCGGUAUGUAAAGCUCUAUCAGCAGGGAAGAAAGGCUCGUAAGAGAGAUGACGGUACCUGACUAAGAAGCUCCGGCUAAAUACGUGCCAGCAGCCGCGGUAAUACGUAUGGAGCAAGCGUUAUCCGGAUUUACUGGGUGUAAAGGGAGCGCAGACGGUCAAGCAAGUCUGAAGUGAAACCCCACGGCUCAACCGUGGGCUUGCUUUGGAAACUGUUUAACUAGAGUACUGGAGAGGUAAGCGGAAUUCCUAGUGUAGCGGUGAAAUGCGUAGAUAUUAGGAGGAACACCGGUGGCGAAGGCGGCUUACUGGACAGCAACUGACGUUGAGGCUCGAAGGCGUGGGGAGCAAACAGGAUUAGAUACCCCUGGUAGUCCCACGCGGGUAAACGAUGAAUACUAAGGUGUUUGGGAGACAUAGUCUUUCAGUGCCGUCGCUAACGCAAUAAGUAUUCCACCUGGGGAGUACGUUCGCAAGAAUGAAACUCAAAGGAAUUGACGGGGACCCGCACAAGCGGUGGAGCAUGUGGUUUAAUUCGAAGCAACGCGAAGAACCUUACCAGAUCUUGAAUUCCAGAUGAAGUGACCGGGUAAUGCCGGUAGGCCUUCGGGACAUUUGAGACAGGUGGUGCAUGGUUGUCGUCAGCUCGUGUCGUGAGAUGUUGGGUUAAGUCCCGCAACGAGCGCAACCCUUGUCCAUAGUAGCCAGCAGUAAGAUGGGAACUCUAUGGAGACUGCCAGGGAUAACCUGGAGGAAGGUGGGGAUGACGUCAAAUCAUCAUGCCCCUUAUGAUCUGGGCCACACACGUGCUACAAUGUCGUAAACAAAGGGACGCGAACCCGCGAGGGGAAGCAAAUCUCAAAAAUAACGACCCAGUUCGGACUGUAGGCUGCAACCCGCCUGCACGAAGCUGGAAUCGCUAGUAAUCGCAGAUCAGAAUGCUGCGGUGAAUACGUUCCCGGGUCUUGUACACACCGCCCGUCACACCAUGGGAGUCGGAAAUGCCCGAAGCCAGUGACCCAACCGUAAGGAUGGGAGCUGUCGAAGGCAGUCUGAUACUGGG